Molecule: ribosomal RNA, 253 nt
Filed under: uncultured bacterium
Lineage: Bacteria
Description: partial 16S ribosomal RNA
Rfam family: Bacterial small subunit ribosomal RNA
Source: RNAcentral
UACGUAGGGAGCAAGCGUUGUCCGGAAUCAUUGGGCGAAAAGCGCGCGUAGGCGGCCCCGUAAGUCCGCUGUGAAAGUCAAAGGCUCAACCUUUGAAAGCCGGUGGAUACUGUGGGGCUAGAGUCCGGAAGAGGCGAGUGGAAUUCCUGGUGUAGCGGUGGAAUGCGCAGAUAUCAGGAGGAACACCAAUAGCGAAGGCAGCUCGCUGGGACGGUAUUGACGCUAAGGCGCGAAAGCGUGGGGAGCGAACAGG